AUUGAACGCUGGCGGAAUGCUUUACACAUGCAAGUCGAACGGCAGCACGGGGGCAACCCUGGUGGCGAGUGGCGAACGGGUGAGUAAUGUAUCGGAACGUGCCCAGUCGUGGGGGAUAACGUAGUGAUAAUUACGCUAAUACCGCAUACGAUCUACGGAUGAAAGCGGGGGAUCGCAAGACCUCGCGCGAUUGGCGCGGCCGAUAUCAGAUUAGGUAGUUGGUGGGGUAAAGGCUCACCAAGCCAACGAUCUGUAGCUGGUCUGAGAGGACGACCAGCCACACUGGAACUGAGACACGGUCCAGACUCCUACGGGAGGCAGCAGUGGGGAAUAUUGCGCAAUGGACGAAAGUCUGACGCAGCAACGCCGCGUGAGUGAAGAAGGCCUUUGGGUUGUAAAGCUCUUUCGGCUGGGGAGAAGGGGUAUGCUGUGAAUAGCAGUGUAUUUUGAUUGUACCAGAAGAAGAAGCACCGGCUAACUUCGUGCCAGCAGCCGCAGUAA
This 501-nucleotide ribosomal RNA is filed under the name uncultured bacterium. Its description in RNAcentral is "partial 16S ribosomal RNA". It matches the Rfam family "Bacterial small subunit ribosomal RNA", at positions 30 to 523 of the family's 1533-position model. The record is from RNAcentral.